Long non-coding RNA from Zingiber officinale, 191 nucleotides. RefSeq lists it as uncharacterized. The transcript has 3 exons. The record is from RefSeq and is a predicted model, not a curated record. Lineage: Eukaryota; Viridiplantae; Streptophyta; Magnoliopsida; Zingiberales; Zingiberaceae.
AUUGACAUGGGAGCAGCCUGGUUGCAUGGUGUCUGCAACGAGAAUCCAUUGGCAUCUUGGAUUGGAAGACUUGGUCUACCAAUUUAUCGAACUUCUGGUGACAAUUCUGUCUUGUAUGAUCAUGACUUGGAGAGCUACGCACUCUUUGAUGGUGAUGGACAUCAAGUGCCUCAAGAUCUAGUGGAAAAAAU